RNAcentral lists this ribosomal RNA (161 nucleotides) under Cycas micholitzii. RNAcentral describes it as "5.8S rRNA". It matches the Rfam family "5.8S ribosomal RNA". From Rfam's summary of the family: 5.8S ribosomal RNA (5.8S rRNA) is a component of the large subunit of the eukaryotic ribosome. It is transcribed by RNA polymerase I as part of the 45S precursor that also contains 18S and 28S rRNA. Functionally, it is thought that 5.8S rRNA may be involved in ribosome translocation. The record is from RNAcentral. Lineage: Eukaryota; Viridiplantae; Streptophyta; Cycadopsida; Cycadales; Cycadaceae.
GUAUGACUCUCAACAACAGAUAUCUCAUCCCUCACCAGGAUGUAGAACGUAGCAAAAUAUGAUACUUAGUAUGAAUUGUAGAAUCUUAUGAGUCAUCUAGUCUUUGAAUGCAAGUUGUGCCAGAGGCUUCGAAUGAGGGCACGUCUGCAUGGGUGUUGCAC